CCUACGGGAGGCAGCAGUGGGGAAUAUUGGACAAUGGGGGCAACCCUGAUCCAGCCAUGCCGCGUGUGUGAAGAAGGCCCUCGGGUUGUAAAGCACUUUCAGUGAGGAAGAACGCCUGGUGGUUAAUACCCAUCAGGAAAGACAUCACUCACAGAAGAAGCACCGGCUAACUCCGUGCCAGCAGCCGCGGUAAUACGGAGGGUGCGAGCGUUAAUCGGAAUUACUGGGCGUAAAGCGCGCGUAGGUGGCUUGAUAAGCCGGUUGUGAAAGCCCCGGGCUCAACCUGGGAACGGCAUCCGGAACUGUCAAGCUAGAGUGCAGGAGAGGAAGGUAGAAUUACCGGUGUAGCGGUGAAAUGCGUAGAGAUCGGGAGGAAUACCAGUGGCGAAGGCGGCCUUCUGGACUGACACUGACACUGAGGUGCGAAAGCGUGGGUAGCAAACAGGAUUAGAUACCCCAGUAGUC
Molecule: ribosomal RNA, 465 nt
Filed under: Vreelandella stevensii
Lineage: Bacteria; Pseudomonadati; Pseudomonadota; Gammaproteobacteria; Oceanospirillales; Halomonadaceae
Description: partial 16S ribosomal RNA
Rfam family: Bacterial small subunit ribosomal RNA
Source: RNAcentral